UAAUAUGUAUACCGUUUCCGAGGUUCUCGCGGUAGGAGAGCAUGAAUUUUGGAUCAGUUUAGACUUCCAGUAUAGAAUACGACACAUCCAUAUGCGAACGACAAUUGAUUACGUCAGCUUCCAUCCUUGUAAAUAAUUAAUUGCCCUUAUCUUAUGUUCGCUGUCAUCAGCCUUAGCUGAUCAUUUUCUUAAAAAUGAUAAAAUCUCUUAUUGUAUCCCAGUGUUUACCGAGCGAUAAAUCCGCUACAUCUGGGCAGGCGCUCAAUUCAAUUUUAUUACAAUUCUCGAACGACUUAUUUGAUUCAGCCGUCAAAGCGAGCUCGAUCGAAAGAGUUCGGUUACAUUAUCGGGCUCUGAAACUCACACUUGUCUUCAGACUAUGCAAGUAGCGACAAGAAAACGAAUACACUUCAAAGGAAUAGGAAGUCUAUCUAACCUGCUUGAACAAGAAUUAUAAAUAGCACAAAAGAUUUUGUGAUCAAUCCGAAGGUUGAAUUAAAUGUCGAUGCUUUCUACCAGAAAUGAUUGUGUAUAAUUGCGUAACCCUGGUCCUUCUGUCCCUAUUACCGCACAUUCAUAACAAGCUAAUUGCAGAUGGACUUCGAAGUAAGUUAGCGUCGAUCGUACUGUCAAAGACAAACACAAGUACAGCGAUAGUGUCGCUGCCGCUCCGCUUGGCGCUGUGUAAGCUGACCCAACAUGCUGAAGGAGAAGCGAAGUCAGAACUGCUCUCUGUAUUGGGUUUCCAAACAGAAGGAAAG
Leptidea sinapis is the source of this 761-nucleotide long non-coding RNA. RefSeq lists it as uncharacterized. The transcript has 3 exons. Lineage: Eukaryota; Metazoa; Arthropoda; Insecta; Lepidoptera; Pieridae. The record is from RefSeq and is a predicted model, not a curated record.